This 571-nucleotide ribosomal RNA is filed under the name uncultured bacterium. RNAcentral's name for it is "bacterial SSU rRNA". It matches the Rfam family "Bacterial small subunit ribosomal RNA", at positions 336 to 917 of the family's 1533-position model. The record is from RNAcentral.
UUCCUACGGGAGGCAGCAGUGGGGAAUAUUGCACAAUGGGCGCAAGCCUGAUGCAGCGACGCCGCGUGAGGGAUGACGGCCUUCGGGUUGUAAACCUCUUUCAGUAGGGAAGAAGCGAAAGUGACGGUACCUGCAGAAGAAGCACCGGCUAACUACGUGCCAGCAGCCGCGGUAAUACGUAGGGUGCGAGCGUUAUCCGGAAUUAUUGGGCGUAAAGAGCUCGUAGGCGGUUUGUCGCGUCUGUCGUGAAAGUCCGGGGCUUAACCCCGGAUCUGCGGUGGGUACGGGCAGACUAGAGUGCAGUAGGGGAGACUGGAAUUCCUGGUGUAGCGGUGGAUUGCGCAGAUAUCAGGAGGAACACCGAUGGCGAAGGCAGGUCUCUGGGCUGUAACUGACGCUGAGGAGCGAAAGCAUGGGGAGCGAACAGGAUUAGAUACCCUGGUAGUCCAUGCCGUAAACGUUGGGCACUAGGUGUGGGGACCAUUCCACGGUUUCCGCGCCGCAGCUAACGCAUUAAGUGCCCCGCCUGGGGAGUACGGCCGCAAGGCUAAAACUCAAAUGAAUUGACGGA